GGGUCAGUAGGUUGGUCGUGCCACCGGUACGUACUGGUCUCACUGAUUCCUCCUUCCUGAAGAACCGUAAUGCCAUUAAUUUGGUGUUGCGGGGAAACAGGACUGUUACUUUGAAAAAUUUAGAGUGUUUAAAGCAAGCUAACGCUUGAAUACAUUAGCAUGGAAUAAUGAAAUAGGACGAUCGACCCUAUUUUGUUGGUUUCUAGGAUUGACGUA
Molecule: ribosomal RNA, 216 nt
Filed under: Glomeromycotina sp.
Lineage: Eukaryota; Fungi; Glomeromycota
Description: partial small subunit ribosomal RNA
Rfam family: Eukaryotic small subunit ribosomal RNA (bases 40-216)
Source: RNAcentral